RNAcentral lists this long non-coding RNA (220 nucleotides) under Mytilus galloprovincialis (Mediterranean mussel). Lineage: Eukaryota; Metazoa; Mollusca; Bivalvia; Mytilida; Mytilidae. The record is from RNAcentral.
GGGAAAAAUCUUAAUUGUUUUGGAGAACGUCAUCAUAUAAAUGUUUCAAGCGUUCGUCUUGUUUUUAGUGCCGUUGACAGUUGCGCAGAACUGAUAUUAUUGUGUGGGCAGAAUUCAGACUCAUAUUUAACGGAUACAGCAUCGAAAUAUCUUUUUGGAUUUAGUUUCAUACUAACCCUCAUAUAUUCGGUAUUAGUGAUAUUUAUUGUUUAUAACUGGU